AUUGAACGCUGGCGGCAGGCCUAACACAUGCAAGUCGAGCGAUAACGGUCUUCGGACUUAUUAAAGCGGCGGACGGGUGAGUAACGCGUGGGAAUCUACCCAGUAGUGGGGGACAACAGUUGGAAACGACUGCUAAUACCGCAUACGCCCUAAGGGGGAAAGGCAGGGGAAUCUUCGGAUCCUUGUGCUAUUGGAUGAGCCCGCGUGAGAUUAGAUAGUUGGUGAGGUAAUGGCUCACCAAGUCUACGAUCUCUAGCUGGUCUGAGAGGAUGAUCAGCCACACUGGAACUGAGACACGGUCCAG
This 304-nucleotide ribosomal RNA is filed under the name uncultured bacterium. RNAcentral's name for it is "bacterial SSU rRNA". It matches the Rfam family "Bacterial small subunit ribosomal RNA", at positions 30 to 334 of the family's 1533-position model. The record is from RNAcentral.